This 341-nucleotide unclassified non-coding RNA is filed under the name soil metagenome. RNAcentral's name for it is "partial contains 5.8S ribosomal RNA, internal transcribed spacer 2, and large subunit ribosomal RNA". The stretch from base 1 to 120 matches the Rfam family "5.8S ribosomal RNA", at positions 35 to 154 of the family's 154-position model. The record is from RNAcentral.
GAUGAAGAACGUAGCGAAAUGCGAUAAGUAGUGUGAAUUGCAGAAUUCAGUGAAUCAUCGAAUCUUUGAACGCACAUUGCGCCCUUUGGUAUUCCAAAGGGCAUGCCUGUUCGAGCGUCAUUUGUACCCUCAAGCUUUGCUUGGUGUUGGGCGCCUUGUCUCUAGCUUUGCUGGAGACUCGCCUUAAAGUAAUUGGCAGCCGGCCUACUGGUUUCGGAGCGCAGCACAAGUCGCACUCUCUAUCAGCAAAGGUCUAGCAUCCAUUAAGCCUUUUUUUCAACUUUUGACCUCGGAUCAGGUAGGGAUACCCGCUGAACUUAAGCAUAUCAAUAAGCGGAGGA